UACGAAGGGGGCUAGCGUUGCUCGGAAUCACUGGGCGUAAAGCGCACGUAGGCGGCUUGUUAAGUCAGGGGUGAAAUCCUGGAGCUCAACUCCAGAACUGCCUUUGAUACUGACGGUCUUGAGUCCGGGAGAGGUGAGUGGAACUCCGAGUGUAGAGGUGAAAUUCGUAGAUAUUCGGAAGAACACCAGUGGCGAAGGCGGCUCACUGGCCCGGUACUGACGCUGAGGUGCGAAAGCGUGGGGAGCAAACAGG
RNAcentral lists this ribosomal RNA (253 nucleotides) under uncultured bacterium. RNAcentral's name for it is "partial 16S ribosomal RNA". It matches the Rfam family "Bacterial small subunit ribosomal RNA", at positions 524 to 776 of the family's 1533-position model. The record is from RNAcentral.